CUUAGCUUGCUAAGGCCGAUGGCGACCGGCGCACGGUGUGAGUAACACGUAUGCAACCUGCCGUCUACUCUUGGACAGCCUUCUGAAAGGAAGAUUAAUACAAGAUGGCAUCAUGAGUCCGCAUGUUCACAUGAUUAAAGGUAUUCCGGUAGACGAUGGGGAUGCGUUCCAUUAGAUAGUAGGCGGGGUAACGGCCCACCUAGUCUUCGAUGGAUAGGGGUUCUGAGAGGAAGGUCCCCCACAUUGGAACUGAGACACGGUCCAAACUCAUACGGGAGGCAGCAGUGAGGAAUAUUGGUCAAUGGGCGAGAGCCUGAACCAGCCAAGUAGCGUGAAGGAUGACUGCCCUAUGGGUUGUAAACUUCUUUUAUAAAGGAAUAAAGUCGGGUAUGCAUACCCGUUUGCAUGUACUUUAUGAAUAAGGAUCGGCUAACUCCGUGCCAGCAGCCGCGGUAAUACGGAGGAUCCGAGCGUUAUCCGGAUUUAUUGGGUUUAAAGGGAGCGUAGAUGGAUGUUUAAGUCAGUUGUGAAAGUUUGCGGCUCAACCGUAAAAUUGCAGUUGAUACUGGAUAUCUUGAGUGCAGUUGAGGCAGGCGGAAUUCGUGGUGUAGCGGUGAAAUGCUUAGAUAUCACGAAGAACUCCGAUUGCGAAGGCAGCCUGCUAAGCUGCAACUGACAUUGAGGCUCGAAAGUGUGGGUAUCAAACAGGAUUAGAUACCCUGGUAGUCCACACGGUAAACGAUGAAUACUCGCUGUUUGCGAUAUACGGCAAGCGGCCAAGCGAAAGCGUUAAGUAUUCCACCUGGGGAGUACGCCG
RNAcentral lists this ribosomal RNA (817 nucleotides) under Bacteroides sp. HGA0122. RNAcentral's name for it is "bacterial SSU rRNA". It matches the Rfam family "Bacterial small subunit ribosomal RNA", at positions 71 to 887 of the family's 1533-position model. Lineage: Bacteria; Pseudomonadati; Bacteroidota; Bacteroidia; Bacteroidales; Bacteroidaceae. The record is from RNAcentral.